This 628-nucleotide small RNA is filed under the name Pan troglodytes (chimpanzee). Its description in RNAcentral is "processed transcript". The record is from RNAcentral. Lineage: Eukaryota; Metazoa; Chordata; Mammalia; Primates; Hominidae.
AGAAAAAGAAUCUGCAUCCUGGAAACCAGAAGAAAAAUAUGAGACGGGGAAUCAUCGUGUGAUGUGUGUGCUGCCUUUGGCUGAGUGUGUGGAGUCCUGCUCAGGUGUUAGGUACAGUGUGUUUGAUCAUGGUGGCUUGAGGGGAACCCGCUGUUCAGAGCUGUGACUGCGGCUGCACUCAGAGAAGCUGCCCUUGGCUGCUCGUAGCGCCGGGCCUUCUCUCCUCGUCAUCAUCCAGAGCAGCCAGUGUCCGGGAGGCAGAAGGUAGGCUCAAGAUCAGCCUGGCAGAACGCCAAACCUAGGGCCCCUGGCACCCAGAGGCGAGGGGAUGCCUGCUGGCUGCCCUGUCCCCACUCCCUGAGCUCUGUUUUCCACUUUGUUGACUAAGGUCCUCCCUGGGGUGGGUUCCGGGGACAGGGGAACCCAGGUCCCCAAGGGUUCUUGGUUGGGUAGGGCUGCACAGGACAGCUUCAAGUCUGGGUCUGGGAUAGUUGCUGCCUUCUUUCUUCACCACACCUGUGGUCUCCCUGGGUCUUGGUGGGGCGUGUAUGUGCAGGCCCUGCUCUGUUUUCAGCAAACCUCGCUGAGACAGGAGCUUUGGGGUGACUUAUUCCCAGCCUGCCUCCUA